GACGUAGGAGGCAAGCGUUAUCCGGAGUUACUGGGCGUAAAGCGCGUGUAGGCGGAUUGGUAAGUGGUUCGUGAAAUAUCCGGGCUAAACUCGGAGGGGACGAAUCAGACUACUAGUCUGGAGGCGGGUAGAGGGGUGCGGAAUUCCGGGUGUAGCGGUGAAAUGUGUAGAUAUCCGGAGGAACACCAGAGGUGCAGACGGCGCCCUGGGCCCGACCUGACGCUGAGACGCGAAAGCUUGGGGAGCGAACGGG
RNAcentral lists this ribosomal RNA (253 nucleotides) under uncultured bacterium. Its description in RNAcentral is "partial 16S ribosomal RNA". It matches the Rfam family "Bacterial small subunit ribosomal RNA", at positions 524 to 776 of the family's 1533-position model. The record is from RNAcentral.